CGGGCCGCGUGCACUGCGGCCCAUUGGGUUUCCAAAGAGGGGGGAUGGGAGACGGGUCACAGUUCCAGGCCCCUCCACAAGCCCUGUCCCUGCCAUCACAAAAGAAUUAGGACCACCACUGAAGAGGCUACAUUUCCUGACGCUGCGCCGGGGACCUUAUACACCUGUAGUGAUACAGACUAACAGAAUUAUGCCAUGUCUGAAAAUUUUCCAAGAUCUACCUUAGGGGAACUUGGAUUAAGCGUGCACCGAUGACAACUACUCUGGAAACUUGUUUUCUGUGACAUGAAAAAGCUUUGCUCCACCAGCACUCCUGGAGCACCGGCGUAGUCUGCACCUUUGUGCGCAGCAGAGGGAAGGGGGCUGUGGCACAUCCCGUGUCUCCAGCCCGCAGAUAAAGGGUGGUCAGCACGCCACAUUCCUGGGCUCAGGAGGGGCCUUUCCAUCCUGCCCUCAUGUUCCAGCAGUUCUGGAAUCAAGAGAUCUGGGCUUUCCAGGGACUUUCUGUGGAAUCCUGCUACCCCUGGAGGCAGGAUGCAAGCAGAUUCACUCUUUUCUACCUACCUCAUGGGGCCCCUCCUGAAAUUCCCAUCCCCAUCAAUUAAUAGAUGCUCACAGUAAAUCUUCUAAAGUUA
This is a long non-coding RNA of Suricata suricatta (meerkat), 635 nucleotides long. RefSeq lists it as uncharacterized. The record is from RefSeq and is a predicted model, not a curated record. The transcript has 2 exons. NCBI's taxonomy places the organism in Eukaryota, Metazoa, Chordata, Mammalia, Carnivora, Herpestidae.